Molecule: ribosomal RNA, 96 nt
Filed under: Microtus ochrogaster (prairie vole)
Lineage: Eukaryota; Metazoa; Chordata; Mammalia; Rodentia; Cricetidae
Source: RNAcentral
GUCUACGGCCAUACCACCCUGAACGCGCCCGAUCUCGUCUGAUCUCGGAAGCUAGUCUGUGAUGAUCCUUAGGCAAUGCUUUGGGUGGUGAAGCUU